RNAcentral lists this ribosomal RNA (1442 nucleotides) under uncultured organism. RNAcentral describes it as "SSU rRNA". It matches the Rfam family "Bacterial small subunit ribosomal RNA". The record is from RNAcentral.
CAGGCUUAACACAUGCAAGUCGAGGGGCAGCAUGGUCUUAGCUUGCUAAGGCCGAUGGCGACCGGCGCACGGGUGAGUAACACGUAUCCAACCUGCCGUCUACUCUUGGACAGCCUUCUGAAAGGAAGAUUAAUACAAGAUGGCAUCAUGAGUCCGCAUGUUCACAUGAUUAAAGGUAUUCCGGUAGACGAUGGGGAUGCGUUCCAUUAGAUAGUAGGCGGGGUAACGGCCCACCUAGUCUUCGAUGGAUAGGGGUUCUGAGAGGAAGGUCCCCCACAUUGGAACUGAGACACGGUCCAAACUCCUACGGGAGGCAGCAGUGAGGAAUAUUGGUCAAUGGGCGAGAGCCUGAACCAGCCAAGUAGCGUGAAGGAUGACUGCCCUAUGGGUUGUAAACUUCUUUUAUAAAGGAAUAAAGUCGGGUAUGGAUACCCGUUUGCAUGUACUUUAUGAAUAAGGAUCGGCUAACUCCGUGCCAGCAGCCGCGGUAAUACGGAGGAUCCGAGCGUUAUCCGGAUUUAUUGGGUUUAAAGGGAGCGUAGAUGGAUGUUUAAGUCAGUUGUGAAAGUUUGCGGCUCAACCGUAAAAUUGCAGUUGAUACUGGAUAUCUUGAGUGCAGUUGAGGCAGGCGGAAUUCGUGGUGUAGCGGUGAAAUGCUUAGAUAUCACGAAGAACUCCGAUUGCGAAGGCAGCCUGCUAAGCUGCAACUGACAUUGAGGCUCGAAAGUGUGGGUAUCAAACAGGAUUAGAUACCCUGGUAGUCCACACGGUAAACGAUGAAUACUCGCUGUUUGCGAUAUACAGCAAGCGGCCAAGCGAAAGCGUUAAGUAUUCCACCUGGGGAGUACGCCGGCAACGGUGAAACUCAAAGGAAUUGACGGGGGCCCGCACAAGCGGAGGAACAUGUGGUUUAAUUCGAUGAUACGCGAGGAACCUUACCCGGGCUUAAAUUGCAGAUGAAUUACGGUGAAAGCCGUAAGCCGCAAGGCAUCUGUGAAGGUGCUGCAUGGUUGUCGUCAGCUCGUGCCGUGAGGUGUCGGCUUAAGUGCCAUAACGAGCGCAACCCUUGUUGUCAGUUACUAACAGGUUCCGCUGAGGACUCUGACAAGACUGCCAUCGUAAGAUGUGAGGAAGGUGGGGAUGACGUCAAAUCAGCACGGCCCUUACGUCCGGGGCUACACACGUGUUACAAUGGGGGGUACAGAGGGCCGCUACCACGCGAGUGGAUGCCAAUCCCCAAAACCUCUCUCAGUUCGGACUGGAGUCUGCAACCCGACUCCACGAAGCUGGAUUCGCUAGUAAUCGCGCAUCAGCCACGGCGCGGUGAAUACGUUCCCGGGCCUUGUACACACCGCCCGUCAAGCCAUGGGAGCCGGGGGUACCUGAAGUGCGUAACCGCGAGGAGCGCCCUAGGGUAAAACUGGUGACUGGGGCUAAGUCGU